RNAcentral lists this ribosomal RNA (408 nucleotides) under uncultured bacterium. RNAcentral's name for it is "bacterial SSU rRNA". It matches the Rfam family "Bacterial small subunit ribosomal RNA", at positions 355 to 762 of the family's 1533-position model. The record is from RNAcentral.
UGAGGAAUAUUGGACAAUGGAGGCAACUCUGAUCCAGCCAUGCCGCGUGAAGGACUAAGGCCCUAUGGGCUGUAAACUUCUUUAGACGCAGAGCAAUAAGGGCCACGUGUGGUCCGAUGAGAGUAUGCGUAGAAUAAGCAUCGGCUAACUCCGUGCCAGCAGCCGCGGUAAUACGGGGGAUGCGAGCGUUAUCCGGAUUCAUUGGGUUUAAAGGUGCGUAGGCGGCUUUGCAAGUCAGCGGUGAAAGGCCCGGGCUCAACCCGGUGAUGCCGCUGAAACUGGUGUGCUUGAGUGCGUGCGAGGGAGGCGGAAUGCGUUGUGUAGCGGUGAAAUGCAUAGAUAUGACGCAGAACUCCGAUUGCGAAGGCAGCUUUCCAGCACGCCACUGACGCUGGGGCACGAAAGCGU